GAACGUCGUGAGACAGUUCGGUCUCUAUCUGGUGUGGGCGCUCGAUAUUUGAAGGGGAUAUCUUCUCAGUACGAGAGGACCGGAAGAUACAGACCUCUGGUGUUCCAGUUAUCCUGCCAAGGGUAAUGGCUGGGUAGCCACGUCUGGAAAGGAUAAGCACUGAAAGCAUCUAAGUGCGAAGCCCACCUCAAGAUUAGAUAUCGUUCCACUUCGGUGGUGAAGGCUCCUCGUAGACGACGAGGUUGAUAGGUUGCAUGUGUAAGACCAGUAAUGGUUUUAGCUAAGCAAUACUAAUAAGCCGAAUACUUGAUCUU
This 314-nucleotide ribosomal RNA is filed under the name Candidatus Omnitrophota bacterium. RNAcentral describes it as "partial 23S ribosomal RNA". It matches the Rfam family "Bacterial large subunit ribosomal RNA", at positions 2614 to 2925 of the family's 2925-position model. The record is from RNAcentral. Lineage: Bacteria; Pseudomonadati; Candidatus Omnitrophota.